GCAUAUCAAUAAGCGGAGGAAAAGAAACCCAACAGGGAUGCCUUCAGUAACGGCGAAGUGAAGCGGCAACAGCUCAAAUUUGAAAUCUCGGCCUCGGCCCGAGUUGUAAUUUGCAGAGGAUGCUUCUGGUGCGGCACCGACCGAGUCCCCUGGAACGGGGCGCCAUAGAGGGUGAGAGCCCCGUGUGGUUGGACGCCUAUCCUGUGUGAAGCUCCUUCGACGAGUCGAGUAGUUUGGGAAUGCUGCUCAAAAUGGGAGGUAAAUUUCUUCUAAAGCUAAAUAUUGGCCAGAGACCGAUAGCGCACAAGUAGAGUGAUCGAAAGAUGAAAAGCACUUUGAAAAGAGGGUUAAAUAGCACGUGAAAUUGUUGAAAGGGAAGCGCUUGUGACCAGACUUGCGCCUCGUCGAUCAUCCGGGGUUCUCCCCGGUGCACUCGGCGGGGCUCAGGCCAGCAUCGGUUUUCGCGGGGGGACAAAGGCCCCGGGAACGUAGCUCCUCCGGGAGUGUUAUAGCCCGGGGCGUAAUGCCCUCGCGGGGACCGAGGACCGCGCUUCGGCAAGGAUGCUGGCGUAAUGGUCAUCAGCGACCCGUCUUGAAACACGGACCAAGGAGUCAAGGUUUUGCGCGAGUGUUUGGGUGUAAAACCCGCACGCGUAAUGAAAGUGAACGUAGGUGAGAGCUUCGGCGCAUCAUCGACCGAUCCUGAUGUAUUCGGAUGGAUUUGAGUAGGAGCGUUAAGCCUUGGACCCGAAAGAUGGUGAACUAUGCUUGGAUAGGGUGAAGCCAGAGGAAACUCUGGUGGAGGCUCGCAGCGGUUCUGACGUGCAAAUCGAUCGUCAAAUCUGAGCAUGGGGGGCGAAAGACUAAUCGAACCAUCUAGUAGCUGGUUACCGCCG
This 896-nucleotide ribosomal RNA is filed under the name [Apiosordaria] verruculosa var. maritima. RNAcentral's name for it is "LSU rRNA". It matches the Rfam family "Eukaryotic large subunit ribosomal RNA", at positions 38 to 963 of the family's 3401-position model. Lineage: Eukaryota; Fungi; Ascomycota; Sordariomycetes; Sordariales; Podosporaceae. The record is from RNAcentral.